UAGUCUGUUCACUUUAGAAAUACUUGGAUCACCCACUCAGUAGGUAAAAGGCAACAUAUUAAGCUCCAUGUUAAAUAAAAAGCUAAAUAAAGGUAAACAGUUUCUUCUAAUAGUGAAUGAUAGUGGAUCCAAAUCAUAUUUUAUGUAAUGCCUGUCCCUGCCCCUUCCCUUAGGAGAUGGAAGUAGACAUAGGGGCUGGAGAGGCAGGUUGUCAUAGUUUUAAUUUCCCUUUGUAGCCAUUUAUUGGAAACAAAUAUGUAGAACCAGCUGUGCUUGUGCAACCUGACCUAUGCAGUCAGAAUUAAGAGCAGACUAGUCAAGUCUGUAACAUUCUCUUCUCUUUCUCUUGCCACUUUGGGCAUAAGAACCUUGACUUCAACAGUCGUUUGUGUUCACCUAACUCAAAUAUCUAUCUGCAACAGCAUUCAAAGGGGCUAUGAAGUGGCGAUAUUUAUAAAAGGAGUUGAAAGGCUGAGUUGGCUAGAAUAGACGGUACACAAGAAUGUAUGUGUAUAUUUUGAAUUUUUGAAAUUCACUUAAUUUUUCUCCCCUUGGAAUUGGUAAACUCUUUAGUAAGAUAUAAUUUAGAGAACUUUUUCCUUAUACAUGCUGAAUUUGUCCAGCUGUAUUAGUUAGGCUGCUCAAAGUGAAACCAUGGGUAAUCAAUAGUCAAAUCCAUUUUACCUGCCUUCACUAAUUAAUUAGUUUUAAGUGUUGCUAAAAAAAGACUUUCAUGUCCUCCAGGUCUGCAGAGAGCCUAAACACAAAGACGGUGGCCUGGAGUUGUUUGCCAGGAAUUGGAGUCAGCUGUGUCUAGUUUGAGCUGAGCUGGUUACGAUCGGAUAGCAGCACGGACCCUGUAACUGGGCAUGCGCCGGUGUCUGAUCUGAUGUCUGACAUCGAAAGUGACCUUUUGAUGUUGGCGGGCUGAGAACUCCAUCCUCAGGUGAGGUUACGGAGCAGACCAGAGCAGAGGCUGCAGCCUAUUACAGGAGCGCAGACCAUGAUUACUGGCCUUUCUGGUCACCUUUGCCCACGCCCUGGGGUGCUCCCCAUGCCCUCCGCACAGCAGAUGGCCCUGCCCCUCUAUUCGUUACCGGUAAAUACCCUGGCGUCUUGUCUUUUAACUUUCUGGUGGGAAACUAUGUGGAAACUUGAUGGAGUUAAAUUCGUUCUCAUUUAUAUAUUUUAUCACUUUCAGCAGCGAGAAGGGGAGAGACCCAAGUUAUGAGGCUAUUAUAAUAAUUUAGGCACCAUGCUAGACACAGAGGAUGUUAAGAUGAAAAUCAGACCCUUCCCUCGAGGAGUUCAUAGACCAGUCAGGAAGAUAACAAAGCUUAUGAUAAAGGCGGUGGCCGAGUAAUACAUUGCCCCGAAACUGAUAAGCCAGGAGGCUAAAGAAGUAUGGAGGCAGUCCGUCAGGAAUCUUGCAAAGAAGGCAGCUCUCAGUAGACAGUACUGGAGAUUUUUAUGAACCAUUUUUAGUUCUGUGAAUUGAAGAGACCUCGCCCCUUUUCUACCUCUUUCUGCUGACAGCUGCUCCUGAACACCUCCCUCCCAGCCGGGAGGGCAGCCGGAUGGCUGCCUGUGCAGCUAACGCCAGGAUGGCUCCUGAGCGAGCAUCCAGGGUAUCAGUUUCCUCCUGGAGACUCACGUGUCACCUUCACGUCUCGUGUAUCUUCCAUCAUUUACGUGAAUAUAUCAAGGGCUCUGGUAGAGGCACCAGGCUAUGAAAGCGCAGUCUAACCGGUGGCUGGGAACAAAGGCCGCCUUCAGCUACAAAUGAUUCACUAUGGUGUUGAGACUUUUUUCCCUCCACGAUGACUUUGAAUCCUAAAGAUUAAAUGAGUGUGCUUCCAUUCGCAGAAAAUAAAAGUGAAGGGAUAGCCUAGGAAAAGAAUUACUCUAAAAAAAAUACUGAUUUUAAGAACCAAUUUAGAAAAUUACAAAGGUUUCACAAGGAUGUAGGGUGUACUUGUAAUGGCAGGAGGAAGAUUUAUACCCAACUCUUCUCACAGAUGCUACUGUAACUUAUCAUCCUCAGAUUACUUAGUUUCCAUCAGAAGAUAUCACUAUCUGAUCAGUCUCAUCAUUUCAUAUUGGGUGGCAGUAUGGACAAAGUUAGAGUGAAUUAUUUGAAAGGUCAUGUGACUAUAUCUAACAGAUAUUUAAAAAUAUUUUGUGUGGUUCAUUAGCCAGUUUAAUACAGUGGGUUAACAAAGAAGUUCUAUAGUUCAUCUCUGGAAAAUUGAAACAUGGCUCUUACUUUUCAACCAUUAUUAAAUUAAAAAUAUCAAAAUAUUUUUAAGAAGAUGCAUGUUUCCAGCACAUUCUAUGUCCUUGGGAAGCAAAUAAUAAUGAACAGGAUUAGGAAAUAAUUUCAGAGAAGACAAUGGAACCCCACUCCAGUACUCUUGUCUGGAAAAUCCCAUGGAUGGAGGAGCCUGGUGGGCUGCAGUCCAUGGGGUCACUACGAGUCAGACACGACUGAGCGACUUCACUUUCACUUUUCACUUUGAUGCAUUGGAGGAGGAAAUGGCAACCCACUUCAGUGUUCUUGCCUGGAGAAUCCCAGGGACUGGGGAGCCUACGCUGCCGUCUAUGGGGUCACACAGAGUUGGACACGACUGAAGUGACUUAGCAGCAGGAAAUAAUUUAUACUGAAGUAUAUAACCCUGAGAUGGCGGUGGAUCAGCCCCACCUCUUUUGACCUUGGCCCCUUUAGAGGACAGCCUGGUUUCAACCAAAGUAACCUUGAACUUGGGGAGAGGCUGCAGCCCAGAGACACAGAAUAGGUGUCGUUGGUGCUAAUUCACUGUGCUUAUGCACUGGCGAGCUACAGUCCAUGGGGUCACAAAGAGUCAGACAUGACUGAGCAACUAACACUUUCACUUUAUGCACAGUUUAUUAAGGAAACUUUCAGAUUAUGGAAAUAUUUGACAGUUUCUUCUAGAUAUUCUGUGGCUUCCGUGGUGGCUCAGACGGUAAAGCGUCUGCCUGCAAUGCGGGAGACCUGGUUCGAUUCCUGGGUUGGGAAGAUCCCCUGGAGAAGGAAAUGGCAAUCCACUCCAGCACUCUUGCCUGGAAAAUCCCAUGGACGGAGGAGCUUGAUAAGCUACAGUCCAUGGGGUUGCAAAGAGUCGGACACAACUGAGCAACUUCACUUUACUUCACUUCUAGAUAUUACGAUUCUUCUUCAAAUAGGAUUCUUUUUCAUAUAUUUAAUAUGGUAUUUAAAAGUUGUCAGUAGAGAAAACAUGCUAAAGUCUGAAUACAAGAAAAUAGUUCACAGUAAAGAACAAUUAUAUACUGAGUAUAAUUUGAAAAAUAUUUGAAUAUUAAACUUGUCUUCAUUAAUAUCAGUUACAGGUCCCAAGGAAUAUGUCAUGAUCUCUUCAUUAUUCUACUUUAAACUCACAAUAUUAUCUCCAGGGGAAUUUUAAAAACAUUUUAUCAGGAAGCUUGCUUCUAAGUUGUUUGGUCAGGUCUGUCUUUCGUAAAGUUAACAGUUUCUAAAUAUUUCCAGAUUUGGCUGUCUGAUACCAGAACAAUUACAAAAUAUUUUCGGUAAUACUAUGUCAACAAGGUCUUUGGUAUUAUUAAAACAGGCAUCUAUUAACUGCUUUAAAAUGCUGAAGAUACUAAAAAUAGUUCAAAUUAACUCAAUUAAAACUAAGGACCUAUUCAUACAGUACUAUUUUAUACAUAAUAUUUAUUGAAGACUUACUAUGUUCCAAGCACCUUUCUUUCAGGGCCAUUCAUGUAUUAUUUCAUUUAAUCCUCAAAAUAAUCCAGGGUAAAAAUUAUAAUUUUAUGUCCAUUUUAUAGACAAGGAAACUGAGGCAUAGGCAGGGUAUGUAACUUGUUUCAAGGCACGUAGUUGAUAAGUAGAAGAUGUGGUAUAAAAUCCCAGGUAGCUUGAUGCUGUGCUCUUUGCCCUUGUACUUUAUUAUAUUGCCUCAUAUUAGUUAAUGUUCAUUCAAAAACUGUAUUAAGAUAUGAGACUGCAACCAGUGUAAGAUUCCUUGACAGGAAAAGCAAAGAUGUUUCUGUAAAUCAAUGUUCAUAGCAUCAUCCUCUGUCCCCCAUCACUCACCUUGGCGCUUGGUAGCAGAGUGAGGAAUACACCGUGUCUCCAUGAGCAGAGCUUCAUGGCACCCAGUUCGCAUGUGGGAUCGCUAAAUUCCAAGGCACAGAAGUAACAAUUCCAUAGAAAAUAGGCACCUUUAUAAUUUCUUACAUAUUAGUGAAAUUUCUACAUUUUCAAGAGCAGAUGAUACAUUUAAUUAAAAUAUUGACCUUGAUAUCAAGGAUAGUAUUACAUGCUGAAAUUACAUAUUAAAAUAGAUUGUGGGGGGCUUUUUUUGGGAGGGAAUAUUUAUUGCAACUUCACUUUUUGAUUAAAAUAGAAAAGAAAUCCUCCGAAAAUUACUUUGAUAAAACGGACUUCAAGUUAAAAUCCACAUGAAUCAUGUUGGGUUUUUCAGGAAGAAUCUUGUUUUGGCCUAAAUGAUACCCGAGAUCAACUUAGACCUUCCUACAUUUUUAACGUGAUGGAAGUGCAGUGGUCUCUCAGCUGGUGUCAGAGAGGAAGUACUUUCAGGAAGACUUUGUCUACCAGAGUUAGACCCAGGGAGCAUGGUAGCCUGAAGUCUCCUUGUCUCCUCGGUCUGCUCUUGGUUCUUUAUCACCAGAAAGGCUAGAAAGCAGAAAAAGUGAAAGUUUCUUCUGAACAGAUUCUUUUCAUUACAGACUUCAGAAAUGUCGGAAAGCUAGCAUAGGGCAAUUCGUAUCCCGAAUUCUUUUUUGCUGUAAUAACACGCAGCAACUAAAAUCUUAACAUUUUUGUCAGAUGUGAAAAAACAUACAAUCUUAUUGUUUCUCACAUUUGGUGUUUUUCGGGGGUGGAGGAAUCAAUUAUUUUGUCUUUAGAAGCUGUAAAAUAAAAUUCCAAUAAAAUCCAUGUUACACAUCUAUGCAAACCAAUAAAAAGAGAAUAUUUGCAUGUGUCCUAUUAAUCAAAACCAGUUUCCCGCAAUUCUAAAGACAUAUUCUUCAAGGAGUUUUGCUUAAUCUUCCCUAUCCAAGUUAAAUGGUCAUACUUGGGAAUAUAUGUUUUGUACAUAUAUGCACACAUACAACAGAAAAUAGUUGGGUUUUAACUAUCAGAUAUUUUAGAGGUCAGCAA
Long non-coding RNA from Bos taurus (domestic cattle), 5188 nucleotides. The record is from Ensembl. Lineage: Eukaryota; Metazoa; Chordata; Mammalia; Artiodactyla; Bovidae.